AGCCUUGAGGUGUUUUAACAUUUCAGAUUGCAAAUCUGAAGAAGCAGAUUAAUAUCUGCCGGGGCUU
RNAcentral lists this transfer RNA (67 nucleotides) under Canthidermis maculata (spotted oceanic triggerfish). RNAcentral describes it as "tRNA-Cys". It matches the Rfam family "tRNA". Rfam says of the family: Transfer RNA (tRNA) molecules are approximately 80 nucleotides in length. Their secondary structure includes four short double-helical elements and three loops (D, anti-codon, and T loops). Further hydrogen bonds mediate the characteristic L-shaped molecular structure. tRNAs have two regions of fundamental functional importance: the anti-codon, which is responsible for specific mRNA codon recognition, and the 3' end, to which the tRNAs corresponding amino acid is attached (by aminoacyl-tRNA synthetases). tRNAs cope with the degeneracy of the genetic code in two manners: having more than one tRNA (with a specific anti-codon) for a particular amino acid; and 'wobble' base-pairing, i.e. permitting non-standard base-pairing at the 3rd anti-codon position. Lineage: Eukaryota; Metazoa; Chordata; Actinopteri; Tetraodontiformes; Balistidae. RNAcentral also lists the same sequence under 1 other name. The record is from RNAcentral.